ACUUGUCUUACGAUAGGAGGAAGUAACAAUAUAUAAUGGUUUGACUAUUUUCUAAAAGGAAUGUAAAUGAAAGUGAAUUUUCAUUCCACUGGUGUACUAGGAAAAUAUCUAGCCACCAGGUUCUGUACAAACCCUACAAAUACUAUUCCAGGUACUCUCAUCGCCUGUCUCUAGAGCCAUGCCAUGCUUGACCAAGUCAUAAGCCACUUGUCACUCUUCCUGGGACAGUACUGAAAAUUUUGUCAAAGCCGGUGUACAUCCAGAAGGGCCAGAACCCAGCUUAUCUGAAAAUCACGGCAUUGAUACUCAUGCCCCCAACACGUCCUAGAUCAGACAUUUGAUUCUUACUAUCUGAGCAAUGAUAUUUCUUCAGCUCAGCAUCUCAUGCAGUUUAAUAGUUUACCAACCAAUUUAAGUCUGCACUGAUAUGGAAGGAUAAAAGCUUACCGCAUACCUGAAUGCCCUAACCUGGAGGAAAGGUUAUUGCACAUCAUGAUUUCAUUGGGUUUGUUUCAUCUUGAAUUGUUGAUUAGUGUCGUACUUGUAACAUCUCCACCAAAGUUGAUAAUCAGCCACCA
This 578-nucleotide long non-coding RNA is filed under the name Zea mays. RNAcentral describes it as "long non-coding RNA (ZMAY_LNC001968)". The record is from RNAcentral. Lineage: Eukaryota; Viridiplantae; Streptophyta; Magnoliopsida; Poales; Poaceae.